AACCUGUUCAUUGAUCUAGCUGAGAGUAAGACAAGUAGUCUUACUAUAACUAACUGCUUUGUAUGUGGAGGAACAAAUAUGGGAGACCAAUGGCCAUGGGAAGCGAGAGAAGUAUGGUAGCCUGGUUCUGAGACAAAUGAGCAACAGAUGCCUUCCCAUUCCAGUAAUCAAGCAACUAUACGGGAAAAAUCGUAAUGGCAAUUAAAAACAUCUAUAAUCGGUCAUGUAUGCUUAGCUGUAGGCAGAAAGCAUAUAAUUAUAGUUGUCAUAAUACUACCUAGUGGUCAGCUUCAAAUGUCUCAGAGCCUACCAACCCUUUUGUUAAUUACACCAAUUUCAGAGGUAUGGUUUGAUCUAUCGGCUACAUCUAACAGGAGAG
This is a non-coding RNA of Pelobates cultripes (western spadefoot toad), 379 nucleotides long. The record is from the annotation of a GenBank genome assembly. Lineage: Eukaryota; Metazoa; Chordata; Amphibia; Anura; Pelobatidae.